Molecule: ribosomal RNA, 501 nt
Filed under: uncultured bacterium
Lineage: Bacteria
Description: partial 16S ribosomal RNA
Rfam family: Bacterial small subunit ribosomal RNA
Source: RNAcentral
ACUCAAAGGAAUUGACGGGGACCCGCACAAGCGGUGGAGCAUGUGGUUUAAUUCGAAGAUACACGAAGAACCUUACCUGGGCUUGAUAUCCUAAGAAUCCUGUAGAGAUACGGGAGUGCUAGUUUACUAGAACUUAGAGACAGGUGCUGCACGGCUGUCGUCAGCUCGUGUCGUGAGAUGUUGGGUUAAGUCCCGCAACGAGCGCAACCCUCGUGAUUAGUUGCUAACAGUUCGGCUGAGCACUCUAAUCAGACUGCCUUCGUAAGGAGGAGGAAGGUGAGGACGACGUCAAGUCAUCAUGGCCCUUAUGCCCAGGGCUACACACGUGCUACAAUGGCUAGGACAAAGAGACGCGAUACCGCGAGGUGGAGCAAAUCUUAAAACCUAGUCUCAGUUCGGAUUGAAGUCUGCAACUCGACUUCAUGAAGCUGGAAUCGCUAGUAAUCGUAGAUCAGAUAUGCUACGGUGAAUACGUUCCCGGGUCUUGUACACACCGCCCGU